AUAUACAAACAAAGUGAAUGUCAAGUUGUCAACACAGCAGAUGGUAUAACAUUAGUACCAGCGGAUGUAAUUUGAAGACAUGAUAUUAUCACUCCUUCGUUCACGAUCUCACCACUUCAACCCCUCCCGCACCCACUUCACUCUCCCUUUAUCGCUGUUCUUCCGCCGCUCAAUGGCCCCAACCAACGAGUCUGCCAGCCCAUCAAACGCCCGCGUUGGCUGGAUUGGCACCGGAGUGAUGGGCCGCUCCAUGUGUGCCCACCUAGUCAAAGCCGGCUACACUCUCACCGUCUUCACUCGGACCCUCUCUAAGGCCCGGCCUCUCGUUGACAUGGGGGCCAACUUUGCUCAAUCUCCUCUUCCCGUCGCCUCUCAAUCUGAUGUCGUUUUCGCUAUCGUCGGCUUUCCCUCCGCCGUCCGUCAAGUCCUCCUGGAUUCCACCACAGGAGCUCUCCAAGGCCUCCGCCCGGGUGGAAGCCUCGUUGACAUGACCGCAUCCGAUCCCUCCCUCGCCUCCGAGAUCUCCGCAGCGGCAUCCGCCAAAAAUUGCCACUCUAUUGAUGCUCCAGUCUCCGGAGGUGUCCGCGGUGCUAAGAAGGGAACCCUUGCAAUAUUCGCUGGAGGGGAUAAGGCAGUUAUCGAUCGCUUGAAUCCCCUGUUUGCUCUCAUGGGAAAGGUUAAUUACAUGGGUGCGCCUGGCAAAGGCCAAUUUGCGAAGCUGGCAAAUCAAAUUACCAUAGCUUCUACCAUGGUUGGCCUGGUGGAGGGGAUUAUUUAUGCAUAUAAAGCUGGACUCAACGUGGAACACUACUUAAACGCCAUAUCUACAGGCGCUGCCGGGUCAAAGUCCCUUGAUUUAUACGGCGCUAGAAUAUUAAAGAGGGAUUUUGAGGCAGGGUUCUAUGUCAACCAUUUUGUGAAAGACUUGGGGAUUUGUUUAAAGGAGUGUCAAAACAUGGGUCUUGCAUUGCCAGGAUUGGCUUUAGCUCAACAGCUUUAUUUGUCGCUUAAGGCUCAUGGAGAAGGUAAUUUGGGUACCCAAGCGCUCAUUUUGGCUCUGGAGAGGCUCAACAAUGUCUCUCUUGAAAAUCUGGCUUCUUUGCAACCUGCAGCUUAGCCUGGUACUGAUUGUGGAUAGUUAAAUUACUGUACACUUGUUUAUUAUGGAUUUAUGGAAUUAUCAUUUCUGGUAAUGAACAUAAAGUUCAUUUUGAGACUUGUGCUAUUUCAUACAAUGUGUUUAGUCUUCUUAUUCACAUAUGGUUGUUUCUGCCGUAUGGUGUUUCUUAUUUGCCUUCUUGCUUGUCCUACAAAAUACAUGACUCAUAAGUAUGUGAGUGAUUGUCAAUCUUAUACUACUUUACCUAGUUGUUUAGGUAUGUGUAUUAGCAGAUGCUUGAUUAUAAUUACCCUCCAUAUUUUAGUUUUAUAUGGAUUACUUGUUCGUAGUUAAUGGGUCUUUAUUGGAUCUUCAUUCAAAUGAAAUCAAAGUUAAAUUCUCCUUUAAAAUUAGUUCACCCAAUUAUUUUGAGUGCUAAUUUAGUGAUAGGAAUCGCCCAAUAUUGCUGAAUGGAAACAUGCUCAAUUAAAGCCAGUUUGGUCUUGCAGUGGUCAAAAGUAGGAUCCCAAACACUGGGUGGAGCGCUAUUCUGUGUAUCUCCUUUACUACUCAUGGUCAAGCCAAUAGACUUCCUCAACAACCAAGUGUUAAUGUGGUCAAGUCAAUAGGGUUUUGGUCUAGAUUCAUCUGAAUGUUGCGUCCCCGCUAAAUAUCUUUUUGGAAAAUAUGAAUGGACUGUCACUUCCCCCUGUUAUAGAUUAUGUUUGUGUGAGCUUUUUUAGCAGUAACAGUAGUUGGCAACGGUACUAACAAUCUUACAGACUCCACUUCUGCAUUUCAGGAUUAUGGGAAUUGAAAGUUAUAUAUCCAAUAUCUUGUAUUUCUCUAAGAUUUUGUAAAUUGUAUAGUAACUGUAAGGUAAUCCGUUUUUGUUUAGAAAAAUUAGUAUUUUGGUCCUGUAAGCUAAUAGAAUACUUCUCUGAGGAUCGAAUACUUCUUGAUUGCUAUUGUAAGUGUAAGAUCAUGGUCUAGAGAAAUUAAAAUUCAUGUUGGUUCCCGGCAAAUGAUGUCGAAAAGCUUGCCAAGCUAGUUGUUUUGCAUUGGUGUUUAGGGAUUAUUCCAAAUUUUGUGAUGUAAUAACCAUGAAAUUGUCUAAAUUCUUUGAUGACUGAGAUUGAUCUUAUAGCUGCCCCUUCUUUUCUGCGUUUUGGAUUUGAUGUUCUUACUUCUUAAUUAUCUAUGCGCACGUGGAUAGUUUGAACUGGUGUUUAGGAUUUAUUCCAAACUUUGUGCUGCAAUAGCGACGAAAUUGUCUAAAUUCUUUGGUGACUGAGGUUGGUGAUAUAAAUUGUUUAAAUUUUAGUGCCUAUACUGUUCAUUGAUUUCUGCAUGUGGAUUUGAUUGUUCCUAGUUGUUAGUGAUUCAUAUACAGACGGCAACGGAGUAGAGUUUCAGAUUAUCCAGUUGUCCUCAAAUGAACUGAUGUACCUUUUGAUGCAUAUCUAUCAAUAAUGAAGCUAGUUGUCUCUCUUUAAAGAGUUGCUCAAAUAUCAUUUUAGGUUGUUACAUCUUUCUGCCACAUUGUAUUGUUGAUCCUGGGAUCUAUAACUUGCAUUGGACACGGUAUAUAGUUCAUAAAAAAUGGACAUGUUUGAGCCCUGAAGUUUGUCCCGCAGGCUUUUCUCGCUAAGUUUGCUUCUGAUAUGCAAAUUUGUUUGAUUCUUUGUAUUUCACAUUCUUCAAGAAGUUCUCAACUAAAUUCUUGACCCACUUUCCUGUGCAGAAUUUUAUAAUCAAUGUCAUAAAAUUGAAAAUGUUAAAUUCUUUCAAGUGAAUUUUUAUUUAUAUCAGAUAUGGAACUGUGAAUAUGUAAAUGAACUUUAUUAAAAUUUAUUUAUAUAAAGCAAUACGAGAAGAGCAUCGUUAGAGACAGGAAAGAAAGGAGUCAUGGAGACGAAUAUGUGGCCAUGAAUGAUAGAUAACCUCACCUCACAAUAAUCUUGUAUGACAAGAAAAGUCAAAGUCAAUGUUCAACAUAGGUGUGCUUUUAUAAUUCUUAGUCUUCUCGAAGUCGGAUUAAUUGGCGUGAGAAAUGUAAUUGUUGAACAGCAAGAUCCUCUAGUUGUAUUAUCCAAGUUGACUUUCAAACAUAAUUAAUUAUUAUAUAUACUUAUACUUUCUUUUGCUUAAUUAUAUUAAACACGUACUUUGUUGUUAGACGAGAAGUUGGAAAUGCAAUAAUGCCACUAUUUUCACUCUUUUAGUCUUUUUGAAGGGCCUAAUACAUAAUUCCACACCACUUAAAUAUAUAAAAAUUAUUUUAUUAAACAUUUUGAUUUAUAAAAUUAGAUCAUUUAAAUAUUUAUUUAAACCAUUGAAACAUGUGAAAAUUAUUAUUUAAAAAAAAUAUGUCAAUUACACAUAAAAAAAUUGCAUAUAAAAAUUAAAAAUUUUAAAAUUAUUGUUAAUAUGAAAAUAUUUAUAAUAUUAUCAAAAUUUAUAAUUUCAAGUGCAUAAUAAUUUAUUCACACAGUUAAUGAUGUCAUUGGUUAAAGUUUGCAAAGUUUCUUUCUUUUUUUAAUGCUUUCCUUUUGAAAAAGAAAAUUAGAGGCACCUAAAUGAAAACAGAAAAGUCUACGGAAAAAAAAAAAAAACAAAGGGCCCGGUUGACAGAUGACUUGAAAAUUGCAGUUGGCGUCCUUAAAACAAAAAGAGCAGAGUAACCAUGUUCGAAGUUUGAAAGGAGUUGCCGUUGGUUUUCACAUUUCUUGUCUCUGUCUGCAGAACACGACCCCAAGAAGAGAACCCAUCUUUCCCAGAAUCUCAUCUUCAAUCUCAAUUUCCCAAAUGUCGAAAAUAACCCCCAUUUUUCUCUCAAUUCACUUCUUCACUCUUCUACUUUCCCUCCUCACCUAUGCCAAUUCGCAGCUUUACGAUCAAGAACAAGAAAUCUUGCUGAGACUAAAACAACACUGGCGAAACCAACCCGUUCUUGAUCAAUGGACCCCUUCUACCUCUUCUUCUUAUUGCACUUGGCCAGGAGUCAACUGCAAUAGCAACAACUCUUCCAUUGUUGGUCUUGGCUUAGCCAACAUGAGCAUAUCUGGAACUAUCCCACCUUUCAUUUGUGACCUCAAAAACCUUACUGUUGUUAAUUUUUAUAACAAUAGUUUUACUGGGACAUUUCCUGUAUCUCUUUUUAACUGUUCCAAGCUUGAAUAUUUAGAUCUUGCUCAAAACUACUUCGUUGGGAAACUUCCUGAUGAUAUUGACCGCUUAUCUCGCCUCUCAUAUCUUAAUCUUUAUGCUAAUAAUUUUACUGGUAAUGUUCCAGUUGCUAUUGGACGAUUGCAGGAGCUGAGGAAUCUUCAGCUUCAGCAGAAUCAGUUUAAUGGCACUUUCCCUUCAGAAAUUGGUGAGUUGUUUAACCUUGAAGUGUUANNNNNNNNNNNNNNNNNNNNNNNNNNNNNNNNNNNNNNNNNNNNNNNNNNNNNNNNNNNNNNNNNNNNNNNNNNNNNNNNNNNNNNNNNNNNNNNNNNNNNNNNNNNNNNNNNNNNNNNNNNNNNNNNNNNNNNNNNNNNNNNNNNNNNNNNNNNNNNNNNNNNNNNNNNNNNNNNNNNNNNNNNNNNNNNNNNNNNNNNNNNNNNNNNNNNNNNNNNNNNNNNNNNNNNNNNNNNNNNNNNNNNNNNNNNNNNNNNNNNNNNNNNNNNNNNNNNNNNNNNNNNNNNNNNNNNNNNNNNNNNNNNNNNNNNNNNNNNNNNNNNNNNNNNNNNNNNNNNNNNNNNNNNNNNNNNNNNNNNNNNNNNNNNNNNNNNNNNNNNNNNNNNNNNNNNNNNNNNNNNNNNNNNNNNNNNNNNNNNNNNNNNNNNNNNNNNNNNNUUCCAACAGGUUUACAGGGAAGCUACCUGAAUUCUUAUGCAGUAAUGGGAAGUUAGUAGGACUAGUAGCUUUCGACAGUAGUCUCAGCGGACCAUUGCCAGAAUCACUUGGUAACUGCAGUAGUUUGCUAAUGUUACACAUUUCAAAUAAUGCAUUUUCUGGAAAUAUUCCUGUUGGUCUAUGGCAAGCUUUAAAUAUGAGUUUUUUUAUGAUAAGCGAUAAUUUGUUUACUGGAGAGCUUCCUACUGAAGUUUCAAGGAAUCUUCAACGGCUAGAGAUCAGUAACAACAGGUUUUCUGGCAAGAUUCCUACUGGAGAUUCUUGGAGGAAUCUGGUGGUUUUUAAUGCCAGCAAUAACCAAUUAUCUGGUACAAUUCCUCAAGAAUUAACUGCUCUUCCUUUCCUUACCACUCUUUUGCUUGAUAGGAACCAACUCAGCGGAGCGCUUCCAUCUGAUAUAGUCUCAUGGAAGUCAUUGAAUACUCUGAACCUGAGUCGAAAUCAACUUUCUGGAGAAAUUCCAGGGGAACUUGCUCUUCUACCUACACUUCUUGACCUGGAUUUGUCAGAUAACCAGUUUUCUGGCCAUAUUCCAACCCAAUUUAGCUCCCCAAAGUUUAAUCUUCUCAAUCUUUCUUCAAAUCAUCUUUCAGGAGAAAUUCCAAGCCAGCUAGAAAUUUCUGCUUAUAACAACAGUUUCUUGAACAAUCCUGGCCUUUGUGCCAGUAAUUCAUUGCUAAAUCUUCACGUUUGCAAUUCUAAACCCCAAGAAUCAAGCAGAAGAUCAACAAAUUUCAUAGCUUUAAUAUCAGCAGUUUUUGCAACAGCUUCUGUGCUAUCUUUGUUACUCUCAUUUUUAAUUAUCAGAGUUCAUCAGAAGAAAAAGUGCAGAUUAAAUUCAACAUGGAAGUUUACCUCAUUCCAAAAAUUGAGUUUCACUGAAUCAGAUAUUCUGUCACAAUUAACAGAAAGUAACCUGAUAGGAACUGGAGGAUCAGGAAAAGUCCACCGUGUUGCUAUAAGCAGAUCAGGCGAUUUUGUUGCUGUGAAGAGAAUAUUGAGUGAAAGAAAGUUAGAGCAAAAGCUCGAGAAACAAUUCGAAGCAGAAGUUGAAAUAUUGAGUAGAAUAAGGCAUUUGAACAUAGUUAAGCUGCUUUGCUGUAUUUGUAAUGAUGAUUCAAAACUUCUUGUUUAUGAGUACAUGGAGAAAAGAAGCCUAGACCAAUGGCUGCAUGUGAAGAAAAGAUCGGUAAGUGUCUACUUAGACUGGCCUACGAGGUUUCGGAUUGCAAUAGGAGCUGCACAAGGCCUGUCUUACUUGCACCAUGACUGCUUGCCUCCUAUUAUUCAUCGAGAUGUCAAAUCAAGCAAUAUUCUGCUAGAUUCUUCUUUCAAUGCAAAAAUUGCUGAUUUCGGUUUGGCAAGAUUGUUGGUUAAGCACGGCAAAGCCACAGUAUCAACUGUAGCUGGAUCUUUUGGCUAUAUAGCUCCAGGUUUGCAAAAAUUCAUGUUUCCAUUACCAAAAUAAGUAAGUAAAGAGUUCAAUUAAAUAAAAUGUUUUAUGUUUCACAACUUCGAACUGCAGAAUAUGCUGUGACCUCAAGAGUGAAUGAGAAAACUGAUGUCUAUAGCUUCGGAGUUGUGCUUCUGGAACUAACAACCAGAAAGGAGGCUAAUUUUGGGGAUGAGAAUACUUGCUUGGCCGAUUGGGCAUGGCGUUACAUGAAUGAAGGAAAAGCAAUUGUUGAUGCCUUGGAUAAGGAGAUAAAAGAGGCAUCAUACUUGGAUAAAAUGACCAUUGUUUUUAAACUUGGAGUUAGGUGUACCAGCAAAUUGCCUUCUGCUAGGCCUUCCAUGAGAGAGGUAUUGCAGAUCCUUGUUCGAUGCAGAAAUCCACUUGCUUAUGGACUUGAAGAAAAUGGAAGAGAGAAUGAUGACGCUCCCUUAUUUUAUUCAAAGCAUGGACAGAUGCCAGAUAGUGAUGAUAACUUGUAUUCUCAUCUUCCCCCCAAAACUACUUGUAGUUUCAGCAACAGUAGAGUAUCUUAAACUGUGUAAUAUAUACAUAUAUAAUAUUUUUAGGCAAGCAUAUAAUGAGUUAGACUACAGGCCGAGUAUCUGGCUCCUACUAUUGUUUCCCUUUAUAUAUAUAUAUAUAUAUAUAUAUAUAUGAGAAAUUAGAUAAUAAAUAUGAAAGACCAAAUAGUCAAAUAUUAUAUGAUAUUUCAAAUUUCAUUAAUUUUUAAUGAAAUAUUUCAAACAAAAUGUUGAUUAAUUUUAAUUUUUGAAGUCAGUAGUUAAAUCCGAUCCAAAAAUCUGAUAAAUCCGAUCCAUUGCCUUUACCCGAAUUUAUUGAGUCAUAUAAAAAUUGCCUUUGGACCUAAACAUUGACAAAUGCUCGCAGUCGAUCUCUGAGGGGCCCGGCCCACAUUGUCAAGAGCAAAGCUUUCUGCUGUGGGCUAAAUGGGCCAACUUUUUGCUCCUUGUCUUUCCAGGUUAUCGGUCCAGGGAUGCACUUGACAGGCCCAUUACAUAUUUUUUCGCAAUGUAUGAAGGGACCAUCAUCAUCCCAUAUAAAACAAAUCACGUGUUUAGCAUAUUUGUUAAAAAGAUAUAAUUUAACUCAUGGUGCAUCCGAAAGACUUCCUCAACGACCAAAGAAUUGGUCAAGUCAAAAAGGGUCUUUGGCCUUUUACCCUACUACUUUUUGAAAAGAAAUAAAUUUUAAUUUGCGUCUACAAUUAAAAAAAAAAAAAAAAAAAAAGCCUAGCAUUGAAUUUGUAUUUUACUGAGGUCAUAAACUGAUAUCAUGAGACUUCUUGCACUUUGAUAAUGAGUUAAGAGGCAAAUUGAGCCAAAAAAUAACUCAAUUUUUACAUUUUUUUUUCUGUAAUUACAAGUUCAAAGGGUAAUUGAACUUUUUUUUCCCACUGAUACAUGAGUGGAACAUCAUCGCACUGUUGCAUAUUAUUAUAUAUAUAUUUUUUCAUUAAGUUAGUUGAAGUCGUACAAUUACAUUUCUGUUGCAAUUUUAGUAGUAGUAAAAGAAGUUGGCGCUAAGGAUCCUGCAGACUCUAUUUCUAGAUUUCAAGAUUAGGGGGAAAUGAAAGUUAUAUAUCUAAAAUCUUGAAUUUCUCCAAGAUUUUGCAAUAAAAUAACCCAUUUUUGUUUAGACAAACUAGUAUUUUGGUCCUGUAAGCUAAUAGAAUACUCAUCCAAGAAUUGAAUACGUAUUUGCAAGAAAAUGUUGUAAAGAAAUUAAACUCCAUGACCUUUAUAAAAAGGGCUCAAAAUUCAUUUUUCUUAUAAACUACAAUAUCCUAUUCUAUUACAUCUACCUCAGGUUCAUUGCCUUGUGCAUUGGAUUGAUUCCAUCUCGACAUAAUGCGACAAGUGAUGUGGAAAAGCUUGCGAGCUUGUCGCUUGACUACUGUUUUGGGUUCAUUCCAAAUUUUCCAACGUCUCAACAACGAUGACUCAGAUUGAUUUGUUGGAUUGAGGUUCCUAAUUGUUUGUGAUUCCUACACUUGUGCAGUACCUAGAUUUUUCAUGUAUAUCUAUCAAAAAUUGGAGCAUCCUGUUGAGUGGACAUGCAGAACCCAAGUGUAGCUUUUGGUUGCUGAGAAACAUGGAUUAUGGCUUUGACUUGGUCAAUAAUAGAACUUUGAUGUUUGGUUUAUUACAUUCAUUUCACCUAUUAUUUUAGGGCAAUGAUAUAUAGGAAUCAUCCAACAACCCAAAUGUAAAUAAAAAAUAAAAAAUAAAAAAUAAAAGAAAGAAAAAGAGAUUUGUGGAGGGAAAGUAAGUAAAAGACUUGCUUAACAACCAUAACGUCGUUAUCAUAAAAGCAACGUCUUUUUAAAAUGGCUGAUCAAUCAAUCUCUUCGUUGAAUUGAAAGUUUGUUGAUCUGGAAGUAAAGGAAGUAUACAGGAAAGCCUUGAAUGGAGUGAGAAAAUUGUAAUCAUAGCUUAGAAGUAUUACAUUGUCUUGUACUUUUAUGGAAGCUUUGUUUUUUUUUUAAAAAAAUGGUAGUAGAAUUUCUCUUUUUCAUUUUUGGUAAUAGGAGGAACAAUGUGAAUUGUGCCCCAACUUUUGGUAAUAGCUACUCUUUUCAACUCAUCUAAAUCUAAAGCAAGCCAUUGUUUUCUUGCUCUGUUUUAUUUUGUUUCUGCAGUACUUGUUUGAUCCUAGAAUGAGUUGGAUAGCAAUGGAUGGAUGAAUGGUGAAUGAGUUUGCAUGUGUUGGUGUUUGUAAAUCUCUUACUAAUUGGAGCAUUCUUUCAUUAAUAAAACUGGGAGUUCAGUCCAAUUCCAUUAUCAUCAAUCAUCCCAAUUAUAAUUCGCAGCUGAUCGUCUCCUAAAGACUUCUUUUUCUUUUAUGUUUCCAAUGGUUUCAGGAUCAGAAAACUGAAUUUAACUCCCAAAUUUUCAAAAUGAUUGUUAAAUAUGUGAGAAUUAAAAUGUGGCGUAUAGCCGUAUACAAACAAAGUGAAUGUCAACACAGCAGAUGAUAUAACAUUACUACCAACGGAUAUAAUUUGAAGACAUGAUAUUAUCACUCCUUCGUUCACGAUCUCACGACUUCAACACCUCUCGCAUCCACUUCACUCUCCCUUUAUCGCUGUUCUUCCGCCGCUCAAUGGCCACAACCACCGAGUCUGCCAGCCCAUCAAACACCCGCGUUGGCUGGAUUGGCACCGGAGUUAUGGGCCGCUCCAUGUGUGCCCACCUAAUCAAAGCCGGCUACAGUCUCACCGUCUUCACUCGGACCCUCUCUAAGGCCCAGCCUCUCGUUGACAUGGGGGCCAACCUUGCUCAAUCUCCUCUUGCCGUCGCCUCUCAAUCUGAUGUCGUUUUCUCUAUCGUCGGCUUUCCCUC
RNAcentral lists this long non-coding RNA (9817 nucleotides) under Jatropha curcas. Its description in RNAcentral is "long non-coding RNA (JCUR_LNC001850)". The record is from RNAcentral. Lineage: Eukaryota; Viridiplantae; Streptophyta; Magnoliopsida; Malpighiales; Euphorbiaceae.